CAGUAGCCGCGGGAAUACGUAGGGUGCAAGCGUUAAUCGGAAUUACUGGGCGUAAAGCGUGCGCAGGCGGUUUUGUAAGACAGAGGUGAAAUCCCCGGGCUCAACCUGGGAACUGCCUUUGUGACUGCAAGGCUAGAGUACGGCAGAGGGGGAUGGAAUUCCGCGUGUAGCAGUGAAAUGCGUAGAUAUGCGGAGGAACACCGAUGGCGAAGGCAAUCCCCUGGGCCUGUACUGACGCUCAUGCACGAAAGCGUGGGGAGCAAACAGGAUUAGAGACCCCAGUAGUCCCUGUCUCUUAUAC
Molecule: ribosomal RNA, 301 nt
Filed under: uncultured bacterium
Lineage: Bacteria
Description: partial 16S ribosomal RNA
Rfam family: Bacterial small subunit ribosomal RNA
Source: RNAcentral